GACUUAAGCAUAUCAAUAAGCGGAGGAAAAGAAACCAACAGGGAUUGCCCUAGUAACGGCGAGUGAAGCGGCAACAGCUCAAAUUUGAAAUCUGGCUCCUUUGGGGUCCGAGUUGUAAUUUGCAGAGGGUGCUUUGGCGUUGGCAGCGGUCUAAGUUCCCUGGAACAGGACAUCGCAGAGGGUGAGAAUCCCGUAUGUGGUCGCAYGCCUUCGCCGUGUAAAGCCUYUUCGACGAGUCGAGUUGUUUGRGAAUGCAGCUCUAAAUGGGAGGUAAAUUUCUUCUAAAGCUAAAUACCGGCCAGAGACCGAUAGCGCACAAGUAGAGUGAUCGAAAGAUGAAAAGCACUUUGGAAAGAGAGUCAAAAAGCACGUGAAAUUGUUGAAAGGGAAGCGCUUGCAGCCAGACUUGCCUGUAGUUGCUCACCCGGGCUUUUGCCCGGGGCACUCUUCUGCAGGCAGGCCAGCAUCAGUUUGGGCGGUCGGAUAAAGGCCUCUGACACGUACUUCCCUUCGGGGAUGACAUAUAGGGGAGGCGUAAUGCGACCAGCCUGGACUGAGGUCCGCGCAUCUGCUAGGAUGCUGGCGUAAUGGCUGUAAGCGGCCCGUCUUGAAACACGGACCAAGGAGUCUAACAUCUAUGCGAGUGUUUGGGUGUCAAGCCCGAGCGCGCAAUGAAAGUGAACGGAGGUGGGAACCCUUCGGGGCGCACCAUCGACCGAUCCUGAUGUCUUCGGAUGGAUUUGAGUAAGAGCAUAGCUGUUGGGACCCGAAAGAUGGUGAACUAUGCUUGAAUAGGGUGAAGCCAGAGGAAACUCUGGUGGAGGCUCGCAGCGGUUCUGACGUGCAAAUCGAUCGUCAAAUUUGGCAUAGGGCGAAAGAC
RNAcentral lists this ribosomal RNA (880 nucleotides) under Periconia didymosporum. RNAcentral's name for it is "eukaryotic LSU rRNA". It matches the Rfam family "Eukaryotic large subunit ribosomal RNA", at positions 31 to 931 of the family's 3401-position model. The record is from RNAcentral. Lineage: Eukaryota; Fungi; Ascomycota; Dothideomycetes; Pleosporales; Periconiaceae.